Molecule: small nuclear RNA, 105 nt
Organism: Balaenoptera musculus (blue whale)
Lineage: Eukaryota; Metazoa; Chordata; Mammalia; Artiodactyla; Balaenopteridae
Source: Ensembl
GUGCUCACUUCAGCACUACACUUACUAAAAUUGUAACGAUACAGGGAAAGUUAGCAUGGUCCCUGUGCAAGGAUGACACAAAUUCAUGAAGUGUUCCAUACUUAA